Molecule: long non-coding RNA, 400 nt
Filed under: Canis lupus familiaris (dog)
Lineage: Eukaryota; Metazoa; Chordata; Mammalia; Carnivora; Canidae
Description: lncRNA (ENSCAFG00000051912.1, ENSCAFG00845001573.1)
Source: RNAcentral
UGUGUACUUUGAAAUAAGUCUCAAGAUGAAUCUCAUGUGCACCGAAGUUUGAGGAUUAUUGUUUUAUCCCUUUUCUCCUUAGCUCGGACCCCUCUUGGUAAUAGAACAACGCUAUAAGCACAGUCUCAGAUUUGUGUGAUGUUUUCUAAUUCACAAGGCUUUUUUCACACAUUGGUCUAAUUUAAUACUAACGUGAUGGGGCUGAUUUAACAACAGCCCUCUGAUUUGGAUCCCUUUCCCAUUCACUUUUCAGAUGAGGAGACAGGAAUGAGAGUCUUUGGAUCACAUGACAAGUUCCCGGCAAAGCCUGUGUUCAUCCCAAGUUUUGUGAUUCCAGUGUCAACUUGGAGGAGGUAGUGCAGUGUAUGAGGAGAGCUAGGACAAAUGAGGAUGGUUUGGG